GAUGAACGCUGGCGGCGUGCCUAAUACAUGCAAGUCGAGCGAACAGACGAGGAGCUUGCUCCUCUGACGUUAGCGGCGGACGGGUGAGUAACACUUGGAUAACCUACCUUUAAGACUGGGUUACCUUCGGGAACCCGGAGCUAAUCCCGGAUAAUAUUUUGAACCGCAUGGUUCAAUAUUGAAAGACGGUUUUCCUUUCACUUAUAGAUGGAUCCGCGCCGCUUUAGCUAGUUGGUAAGGUACCGCCUUACCAAGGCAACGAUGCGUAGCCGACCUGAGAGGGUGAUCGGACACACUGGAACUGAGACACGGUCCAGACUCCUACGGGAGGCAGCAGUAGGGAAUCUUCCGCAAUGGGCGAAAGCCUGACGGAGCAACGCCGCGUGAGUGAUGAAGGUCUUCGGAUCGUAAAACUCUGUUAUUAGGGAAGAACAAAUGUGUAAGUAACUAUGCACGUCUUGACGGUACCUAAUCAGAAAGCCACGGCUAACUACGUG
This 497-nucleotide ribosomal RNA is filed under the name uncultured bacterium. RNAcentral describes it as "partial 16S ribosomal RNA". It matches the Rfam family "Bacterial small subunit ribosomal RNA", at positions 28 to 507 of the family's 1533-position model. The record is from RNAcentral.